RNAcentral lists this ribosomal RNA (497 nucleotides) under uncultured bacterium. RNAcentral's name for it is "partial 16S ribosomal RNA". It matches the Rfam family "Bacterial small subunit ribosomal RNA", at positions 28 to 507 of the family's 1533-position model. The record is from RNAcentral.
GAUGAACGCUGGCGGCGUGCCUAAUACAUGCAAGUCGAGCGAACGGACGAGACGCUUGCUUCUCUGAUGUUAGCGGCGGACGGGUGAGUAACACGUGGAUAACCUACCUAUAAGACUGGGAUCACUUCGGGAAACCGGAGCUAAUACCGGAUAAUAUUUUGAACCGCAUGGUUCAAAAGUGAAAGACGGUCUUGCUGUCUCUUAUAGAUGGAUCCGCGCUGCAUUAGCUAGUUGGUAAGGUAACGGCUUACCAAGGCAACGAUGCAUAGCCGACCUGAGAGGGUGAUCGGCCACACUGGAACUUAGACACGGUCCAGACUCCUACGGGAGGCAGCAGUAGGGAAUCUGCCGCAAUGGGCGAAAGCCUGACGGAGCAACGCCGCGUGAGUGAUGAAGAUCUUCGGAUCGUAAAACUCUGUUAUUAGGGAAGAACAUAUGUGUAAGUAACUGUGCACAUCUUGACGGUACCUAAUCAGAAAGCCACGGCUAACUACGUG